This 1598-nucleotide unclassified non-coding RNA is filed under the name Hevea brasiliensis (rubber tree). The record is from RNAcentral. Lineage: Eukaryota; Viridiplantae; Streptophyta; Magnoliopsida; Malpighiales; Euphorbiaceae.
CUCACAACUUCUUUCCGGUGAGCUAGAUCAAAUUCACGCUGCUAUCGAUCCGAAAUGCUCCUGUAGCGCAAAAUUCUUUUUUCACUUUGAUCUCUGCUAAAACCCAAGUUUCUUUGGUAAAGGGGUUUUGAAGAGAUCCAAUUUAUAUUCAACCUCAUAUGGUACUGAAAUCUCAUCAAUAGAAAUUCAUCAAAACCAUGUUCUGUUCCAAUCUAACCUCGUGGGUUUCCCCAAAUCCGUCAAAACCUAACACAUAUGCAUUUUCUUUUCAAUUCCAAUCAAACCCAUUUCGCCAUUUAGCCCAAGUGCCCCCUCCAUACAAUACCUUCUCUCAAUCUUCAUUAUAUACUCAGAUUCGUUGUGGUCUUCGCGAGUUAAAAGGUCGGAUUAAUACUGUCAAAAGCGCCCAGAAGAUUACUGAGGCAAUGAAACUAGUUGCAGCUGCUAAGAUCCGAAGAGCUCAAGAAGCUGUUAUCAACAGCAGACCCUUUACUGAAGCCCUCCUUGAAAUGCUUUAUAUCAUCAACGAACAGCUCCAAUUGGAAGAUAUUGAUGUUCCAUUAACGAAUGUUAGGUCUGUAAGGAAAGUAGCACUUGUUGUUGUUACUGGUGAUAGAGGCCUUUGUGGUGGUUUUAACAAUGCAGUGCUAAAAAAGGUUGAGACCCGGAUUAUGGAAUUGGAAAAACUGGGGUUAGAUUACUCUGUGAUUAGUGUGGGCAGGAAGGGUAAUGCCUAUUUUAAGCGUAGACCUAAGAUUUCCGUGGAAAGAUUUAUUGAGGGAGGGAGUUUUCCCACAGCUAAAGAGGCUCAACUGAUUGCUGAUGAAGUAUUUUCACUGUUUGUCAGUGAAGAGGUUGAUAAGGUAGAGCUUGUUUAUACUAAGUUUGUGUCUUUGGUGAAGUCUGACCCGGUGAUUCAUACGCUGUUGCCAUUGUCACGUAGAGGAGAGGUUUGCGAUAUGAAUGGGAAUUGUGUUGAUGCUGCAGAUGAUGAGUUCUUUAGGUUGACCAGUAAGGAAGGGAAGUUGGCUAUUGAGAGGGAGAGUGUAAGGACAAAGAAGGAGGGAUUUUCACCUCUUUUGCAGUUUGAGCAAGAUCCAAUUCAGAUUCUUGAUGCUAUGAUGCCUCUCUAUCUAAAUAGUCAUGUUUUGAGGGCACUGCAGGAGUCAUUGGCUAGUGAGCUUGCAGCAAGGAUGAAUUCCAUGAGUAACGCAACAGAUAAUGCAGUUGAUUUGAAAAAGAAUCUUUCUAUUGCAUACAAUCGGGAAAGACAAGCAAAAAUUACAGGGGAAAUACUGGAGAUUGUAGCUGGAGCAGAGGCACUAACGGAAUUAGAGUAAUUCUAGGUCCUCGUUGUCCUUGAUCCAUGCUUGCUUCUCUCCUACAGUCAUUUUGCUUCGAAUUUUUUAUUACCUAGAUCCAAUAUCAGCUGUCACCUAGAUUGACAUUUCUUUAUUGUAAUCAUAGCCCGAGUCCAUAUCCGACUUUGAUAUGAAAUAAAUAAGAAAGCGAGAUGCAUACAAUGGGUUGUGCAUUUUGGUUCCUUUUCAUGGUAUGAAUUCUCCAUCCCUCGCCCUCCAUCUAUAUGUAUGUGUAUG